GGGUUGUGAGGUUAAGCGACUAAGCGUACACGGUGGAUGCCCUGGCAGUCAGAGGCGAUGAAGGACGUGCUAAUCUGCGAUAAGCGCCGGUAAGGUGAUAUGAACCGUUAUAACCGGCGAUUUCCGAAUGGGGAAACCCAGUGUGAUUCGUCACACUAUCAUUAACUGAAUCCAUAGGUUAAUGAGGCGAACCGGGGGAACUGAAACAUCUAAGUACCCCGAGGAAAAGAAAUCAACCGAGAUUCCCCCAGUAGCGGCGAGCGAACGGGGAGGAGCCCAGAGCCUGAAUCAGCAUGUGUGUUAGUGGAAGCGUCUGGAAAGGCGCGCGAUACAGGGUGACAGCCCCGUACACAAAAGCGCAUGUGCUGUGAGCUCGAUGAGUAGGGCGGGACACGUGGUAUCCUGUCUGAAUAUGGGGGGACCAUCCUCCAAGGCUAAAUACUCCUGACUGACCGAUAGUGAACCAGUACCGUGAGGGAAAGGCGAAAAGAACCCCGGCGAGGGGAGUGAAAAAGAACCUGAAACCGUGUACGUACAAGCAGUGGGAGCCCCACCACUAAGCCAGUGGUGAACUCCACAUCCGCAUCCUUUGCUGAGGAUACGGUUAACGGAGCGAAAGCGACGUUCAACCGCAAAACAAGCAGAGGGGGC
Molecule: ribosomal RNA, 651 nt
Filed under: Salmonella enterica subsp. enterica serovar Typhimurium
Lineage: Bacteria; Pseudomonadati; Pseudomonadota; Gammaproteobacteria; Enterobacterales; Enterobacteriaceae
Description: partial 23S ribosomal RNA
Rfam family: Bacterial large subunit ribosomal RNA
Source: RNAcentral